This 385-nucleotide ribosomal RNA is filed under the name uncultured eukaryote. RNAcentral describes it as "partial 18S ribosomal RNA". It matches the Rfam family "Eukaryotic small subunit ribosomal RNA", at positions 592 to 976 of the family's 1831-position model. The record is from RNAcentral.
CAAUAGCGUAUAUUAAAGUUGUUGCAGUUAAAAAGCUCGUAGUUGGAUUUCUGGUGGGAGCGAUCGGUCUGGCGCUUAGCGCGAGUACUUGCAUCGUCUCCGGCCAUCCUUGGGGAGAGUCUGUCUGGCAUUCAGUUGUCGGGAUUGGGAUCCUCAUCGUUUACUGUGAAAAAAUUAGAGUGUUCAAAGCAGGCCUCGGCCUCUGAAUACAUUAGCAUGGAAUAAUAAGAUAGGACUUUGGUGGUCUAUUUUGUUGGUUUGCACGCCAAAGUAAUGAUUAAUAGGGAUAGUUGGGGGUAUUCGUAUUCAAUUGUCAGAGGUGAAAUUCUUGGAUUUAUGGAAGACGAACUACUGCGAAAGCAUUUACCAAGGAUGUUUUCAUUAA